This 464-nucleotide ribosomal RNA is filed under the name uncultured Weissella sp. Its description in RNAcentral is "bacterial SSU rRNA". It matches the Rfam family "Bacterial small subunit ribosomal RNA", at positions 338 to 795 of the family's 1533-position model. Lineage: Bacteria; Bacillati; Bacillota; Bacilli; Lactobacillales; Lactobacillaceae. The record is from RNAcentral.
CCUACGGGGGGCAGCAGUAGGGAAUCUUCCACAAUGGACGAAAGUCUGAUGGAGCAACGCCGCGUGUGUGAUGAAGGGUUUCGGCUCGUAAAACACUGUUGUAAGAGAAGAAUGACAUUGAGAGUAACUGUUCAGUGUGUGACGGUAUCUUACCAGAAAGGAACGGCUAAAUACGUGCCAGCAGCCGCGGUAAUACGUAUGUUCCAAGCGUUAUCCGGAUUUAUGGGGCGUAAAGCGAGCGCAGACGGUUGUUUAGGCCGAAAUGAAAAGCCACAGGUUAAACGGGGGAGGUGUUUGGAAAACGGGUAACUUGAGUGCAAUAGGAGGGAGUGGCACUCCAUGGGUAGGGGUGGAAUGCGUAGGUAAAUGGGAGGACCCCAGUGGCGAAGGCGGCUCUCUGGACUGUAACUGACGUUGAGGCUCGAAAGUGUGGGUAGCAAACAGGAUUAGAUACCCUAGUAGUC